CUUACGGGGGGGACUCAUAGGAGACUGCCGGGGUCAACUCGGAGGAAGGUGGGGAUGACGUCAAGUCAUCAUGCCCCUUAUGUCCAGGGCUUCACCCAUGCUACAAUGGCCGGUACAAAGGGCUGCGAUACCGCGAGGUGGAGCGAAUCCCAAAAAACCGGUCUCAGUUCGGAUUGGGGUCUGCAACUCGACCCCAUGAAGUCGGAGUCGCUAGUAAUCGCAGAUCA
This 227-nucleotide ribosomal RNA is filed under the name uncultured Nocardioides sp. Its description in RNAcentral is "partial 16S ribosomal RNA". It matches the Rfam family "Bacterial small subunit ribosomal RNA", at positions 1125 to 1351 of the family's 1533-position model. Lineage: Bacteria; Bacillati; Actinomycetota; Actinomycetes; Propionibacteriales; Nocardioidaceae. The record is from RNAcentral.